GGUUAGAGAGUAAGUCACGUGACCUAGCGGCAGUCUGAAGGCUCGGAUAUGGUCGCCAGACAACAAUUAUUGGGGAAAAGCAAAUUCGCAGCCCGCGACUGGACCUUCUUGGUCGUUACAACAACAUCAAAGAGAUUUUUUUUUCAUCUUUCCUGUCUGCAUUCUGCUUACCUGCUGCACGCAGGAGAGCGCACGAGCAGACGCCGAUAAGACAAAACAGAGCACAAUCUUCAACAAUCUUCAAGAUGGCUGCUGGUGUGACACUAGACACUAGACACUGGAGUAAUCUCAGGGCUGCAAGGUCAACAAGUUUGAAAGUUCAUAUUCUCGUCAAUCACGAAGAUUUCAAAGAGAUUUAUAAACCUUUGAAGGUUCACGGAUGAGCAACACAGAGUAUUACUGUGAACAUUCAGCGAUACAAAUAAAGCUGUUCACUUCUU
Pomacea canaliculata is the source of this 440-nucleotide long non-coding RNA. RefSeq lists it as uncharacterized. The record is from RefSeq and is a predicted model, not a curated record. NCBI's taxonomy places the organism in Eukaryota, Metazoa, Mollusca, Gastropoda, Architaenioglossa, Ampullariidae. The transcript has 2 exons.